GUAGGGUACUAGCUAGAUGUAGUUCUUGAAGUGAAGUCCAAAAAUACUAAGAAAGAAAUGGGUGGUUCCCUAUUUUCUCUUCAUCGCAUUAUGGUUUCGUUACUUUUCAUUUUCAUGUUCUUGCUAGAAGCCGUCCAUGGCACAAAAAAGUGUUACAUUGUAUACUUGGGAGCACAUUCUCAUGGCCCUCACCCUACAUCUGUUGAACUUGAUAUUGCUACCAAUUCUCAUUAUGAUUUACUAAGUUCAACUUUGGGAAGCCGGGAGAAAGCAAAAGAAGCAAUCAUUUACUCAUAUAACAAACACAUCAAUGGCUUUGCUGCCUUACUUGAAGAAGAAGAAGCAGCAGAUAUUUCAAAAAAAGCAAAUGUAGUGUCAGUGUUCUUGAGCAAAUCUCAUAAACUGCACACAACAAGGUCAUGGGAAUUUCUUGGACUGCAAAGAAAUGGUAAGAAACACUGCAUGGCAAAAGGGAAAGUUUGGUGAAAAUACAAUAAUCGCAAACAUCGACUCCGGUGUUUGGCCGGAAUCCAAGAGCUUCGGUGAUAAGGGAUUUGGACCUAUUCCAUCUAAAUGGCGUGGGACAAAUGCGUGUCAAAUUAGACAAUUCCGCAAAUUGAAGAAAAAUCCUUGCAACAGGAAGCUAAUCGGAGCCAGAUUCUUCAGCAAUGCUUAUGAAGCAUAUUAUGGCAAGCUUCGCUCAUGGCAACUUAGCGCACGUGACUUUGUAGGACACGGUACUCAUACACUAUCAACAGCAGGUGGAAACUUCGUACCAGGUGCAAGUAUAUUCGGUAUUGGCAAUGGUACCAUAAAAGGUGGUUCACCUAGAGCUAGAGUUGCCACAUACAAAGUGUGCUGGUCUCUAACAGAUGUUGCUGACUGCUUUGGAGCCGACGUGUUAGCUGCUAUUGACCAAGCCAUUAGUGAUGGUGUUGAUAUAUUAUCACUUUCAGUUGCUGGCCAAUAUCUUGUCUAUCCUGAAGAUAUUUUCACAGAUGAGGUUUCAAUAGGAGCAUUCCAUGCACUUUCUAGAAACAUAUUAGUAGUUGCCUCUGCAGGGAACGAUGGACCAACCGCAGGAAGCGUGGUGAAUAUAGCUCCAUGGGUAUUCACAAUUGCUGCUAGUACAUUAGACAGAGAUUUCAGCAGUACAAUAACUAUUGGUAACAAAAAAGUCACGGGAGCUAGUCUUUUUGUAACCUUACCGCCUAAUAAGUCGUUUUCUCUGAUUCUUGGUACGGAUGGUAAACUUGCCAAUGCGACAGAUCGUGCUGCGCGACUUUGUAGGCCCGGAACACUUGAUCCUUCAAAAGUGAAGGGCAAAAUAGUGGGAUGUGAUCGAGAAGGAAAUAUAAAAUCAGUUGCUGAGGGUCAGGAAGCUUUAUCAGCAGGUGCCAAGGGAAUGCUUUUGAGCAAUCGACCACAACAAGGGAAAACAACUCUUGCUGAGCCUCAUGUUUUGUCUUGUGUGGGUAACUCGCAAGAUGAAAACACUCUAGUUAUUAUCAAUACAACAGAACCUGCAGGGUCACAUGCUGCUUAUGACAUAACUUCCAUGGACUCUAAAUUAAAGUCGGGUACCACAAUAAGGUUUUCAGGAGCAAAAGUAUUGUAUGGAAGAAAGCCAGCUCCAGUAAUGGCUUCAUUCUCAUCUAGAGGACCAAAUAAGAUUCAGCCGUCAAUACUCAAGCCUGAUGUAACUGCACCAGGUGUGAACAUACUUGCUGCCUACUCAUUGUUCGCAAGUGCUUCCAACUUAAUAACAGACAAUCGCCGAGGUUUUCCAUACAAUGUACAACAAGGAACCUCUAUGUCUUGCCCUCAUGUGGCCGGCAUUGCAGGACUUCUCAAAACAAAGCAUCCUAAUUGGAGUCCAGCAGCUAUUAAAUCGGCUAUCAUGACCACAGCAACCACACUAGAUAACACAAACAGACCAAUUCAAGAUGCAUUUAAAAAAAAACAAGCAACUCCCUUUGCUUAUGGUUCAGGGCAUGUUCAACCUGACCUUGCAAUAGAUCCUGGACUUGUUUAUGAUCUAGGCAUUAAGGAUUACUUGAAUUUCCUAUGUGCUUAUGGAUACAACCAACAACUCAUUUCAGCACUUAAUUUCAAUGGUACAUUUGUUUGUUCCGGAUCUCACAGCAUAGAAGACUUUAACUACCCUUCAAUCACGUUACCGAAUCUUGGGUUAAAUGUCGUUAAUGUCACUCGGACGGUCACCAAUGUUGGGUCACCCGGCACAUAUGUAGCAAAAGCCCAAUUGCCUGGAUAUAAAAUUGCCGUUGUACCAAACUCCUUGACUUUCAAGAAAAUUGGUGAAAAGAAGACAUUCCAAGUUAUUGUGCAGGCAACAAAUGUGACUCCACGGAAGAAAUAUCAAUUUGGAAAUUUGCAAUGGACAGAUGGAAAACACAUUGUAAGGAGUCCUAUCACCGUUAAGCGCAAAUAAACAUUCCUGAUUCGUUCUGUCAGGAUAUUACAGUGUGCAUGCACUGCCAAUGUAUUUGAGUAUUAGGAUUUCAUGUUAUCACUAGUUUGUGGGAUCUGGAUUGCGUGCAGUCAAAUCAGAUCUGAUAGUUUGAUUAGGAUCAGGCGGUUCUAAAUUAAAACAGACUUUUCUUUUUAUUUAAACUACUUUAAGUUUGUACCGUCCGAUCUUAAUCAGACAGUCAGAUUUAAUUUGAUUGCAUGACUGCGACUGCAAUCCAUAUCCGUAGUUUGUGUGCCUUUUGUUAUUUUAUCCUUCUUUGGUUGUUUAUGUUUUAUAGUAUGGAGUGUUUUGUAAUCAUUAUCAAUAAAUGGCAGUGCAGUAUCUUUAGUCUGUUGUUUA
RNA transcript from Trifolium pratense (red clover), 2833 nucleotides. It is a transcript of the gene named subtilisin-like protease Glyma18g48580, with no coding region annotated. Lineage: Eukaryota; Viridiplantae; Streptophyta; Magnoliopsida; Fabales; Fabaceae. The transcript is spliced from 11 exons. The record is from RefSeq and is a predicted model, not a curated record.